GAGACCUCAGGUCAGGCGGGGCUACCCGCUAAAUU
Molecule: ribosomal RNA, 35 nt
Filed under: Lathyrus pannonicus subsp. collinus
Lineage: Eukaryota; Viridiplantae; Streptophyta; Magnoliopsida; Fabales; Fabaceae
Description: partial 25S ribosomal RNA
Source: RNAcentral